UAUAAGCAAUUAUACCGCGAAACUGCGAAUGGCUCAUUAUAUAAGUUAUCGUUUAUUUGAUAGUACCUUACUACUUGGAUAACCGUGGUAAUUCUAGAGCUAAUACAUGCUAAAAAUCCCGACUUCGGAAGGGAUGUAUUUAUUAGAUUAAAAACCAAUGCCCUUCGGGGCUCACUGGUGAUUCAUGAUAACUCCUCGAAUCGCAUGGCCUUGUGCCGGCGAUGGUUCAUUCAAAUUUCUUCCCUAUCAACUUUCGAUGUUUGGGUAUUGGCCAAACAUGGUUGCAACGGGUAACGGAGGGUUAGGGCUCGACCCCGGAGAAGGAGCCUGAGAAACGGCUACUACAUCCAAGGAAGGCAGCAGGCGCGCAAAUUACCCAAUCCCGACACGGGGAGGUAGUGACAAUAAAUACUGAUACAGGGCUCUUUUGGGUCUUGUAAUUGGAAUGAGUACAAUUUAAAUCCCUUAACGAGGAACAAUUGGAGGGCAAGUCUGGUGCCAGCAGCCGCGGUAAUUCCAGCUCCAAUAGCGUAUAUUAAAGUUGUUGUGGUUAAAAAGCUCGUAGUUGAACCUUGGGCCUGGCUGGCCGGUCCGCCUCACCGCGUGUACUGGUCCGGCCGGGCCUUUCCCUCUGUGGAACCCCAUGCCCUUCACUGGGUGUGGCGGGGAAACAGGACUUUUACUGUGAAAAAAUUAGAGUGCUCC
This 705-nucleotide ribosomal RNA is filed under the name Fusarium oxysporum. RNAcentral's name for it is "SSU rRNA". It matches the Rfam family "Eukaryotic small subunit ribosomal RNA", at positions 64 to 777 of the family's 1831-position model. Lineage: Eukaryota; Fungi; Ascomycota; Sordariomycetes; Hypocreales; Nectriaceae. The record is from RNAcentral.